This 26-nucleotide non-coding RNA is filed under the name Cricetulus griseus (Chinese hamster). Lineage: Eukaryota; Metazoa; Chordata; Mammalia; Rodentia; Cricetidae. The record is from RNAcentral.
ACCGAAGGCACUGGGACACAGGCAGG